Molecule: ribosomal RNA, 116 nt
Organism: Vicugna pacos (alpaca)
Lineage: Eukaryota; Metazoa; Chordata; Mammalia; Artiodactyla; Camelidae
Source: Ensembl
GUCUACGGCCAUACCACCCUGAACGCGCCCGAUCUUGUCUGAUCUCGGAAGCUAAGCAGGGUCGGGCCUGGUUAGUACUUGGAUGGGAGGACAUGGACAUCUUUGGGGCGGGGGCA